UAACGCGUGAGGAACCUGCCUUUCAGAGGGGGACAACAGUUGGAAACGACUGCUAAUACCGCAUAAUAUAUGUUUGUCGCAUGGCAGAUAUAUCAAAGAUUUAUCGCUGAGAGAUGGCCUCGCGUCUGAUUAGCUAGUUGGUAGGGUAACGGCCUACCAAGGCGACGAUCAGUAGCCGGACUGAGAGGUUGGCCGGCCACAUUGGGACUGAGAUACGGCCCAGACUCCUACGGAAGGCAGCAG
This 243-nucleotide ribosomal RNA is filed under the name uncultured bacterium. RNAcentral describes it as "partial 16S ribosomal RNA". It matches the Rfam family "Bacterial small subunit ribosomal RNA", at positions 111 to 354 of the family's 1533-position model. The record is from RNAcentral.